This 74-nucleotide transfer RNA is filed under the name Peptococcaceae bacterium. Its description in RNAcentral is "tRNA-Glu". It matches the Rfam family "tRNA". Rfam says of the family: Transfer RNA (tRNA) molecules are approximately 80 nucleotides in length. Their secondary structure includes four short double-helical elements and three loops (D, anti-codon, and T loops). The record is from RNAcentral. Lineage: Bacteria; Bacillati; Bacillota; Clostridia; Eubacteriales; Peptococcaceae.
GGCCAGUUGGAGAAGCGGCUUAACUCAUCAGCCUUUCACGCUGACAUUCACGGGUUCGAAUCCCGUACUGGUCA